GCAGCCGUUUCUGCGGAUCGUGCGGCCGCGGAGUUCCGGCGGUGCCGGCCCCGUUUCUGGGGGGCGGCCGCGAUCCUGGGCCGGAGCUCUCUGCCCGGCUCCCGCAAGCGUCCCGGUCCCCGGGGCUUCUUGCUGCGGCUCGGGUUGAUGAGGGGAGCGCGGAGCCCGUGCCGGCUCCCAGCUGCUCGGGAGCGCGUCAGCUGCGCUUCGUCCUUCCCGGGAGGCCCUCGGCAGCCGCGUGCGGAUAUGCUCCUCGCGGGGGAAACUGCUGUGAGGGGUGCGUUUCAAGAAGUAAGAAUGCAGCACCGCUCAUGUGGUUCAAGGUGAAGCUCAGCCGUAAGCAGCAAGCAUGUGAAAUGGCGUGCAGCACGAAGGUGAGCUGCCCAGGCCCAUUUCCAGCUGUGAACAGCCCGGCUUUUGAACUGCAAAUGUGUGGGAUGCCUUAGCUUGUAGUCAUGUGGGCGCAGAGGAGCUUCACACACAUCAGCAUGUUUCCUAAGUGUAAUUCUAGGUACCAAUUUGACAAGUGAGCACCUAAAAAUCACAGAUGCUACAGUCUCAGUAAUUUCAGGAGGAUGUAAAUACUGCCAGGUAUGUUUAAGUGCUUUCACGAGGUGGAGCUUAAAUAGUGUAUAGAAUCCAUAAACCAAAAGCCACAUGUAGCCUUAUGUGAACGCAGAGGAAGGCAGAUUUGCAGCCUCCUGAAUAGAAACCGUUGGCUGUAUUUCCUUUGCUCAUUUUUUUCCCUUCUCACUUCCUCUGUCAGCACCAUUUCUAUUAAUGAUAUCUAUCUUCUAAGUGUAUAGACUUUAAACUGCCAACUCACUCUUUGUAGUAGAGGAAAUCCUUGCGUUCCUUACCUGGUGGAUUCACACUGUGCUCUGUGGCCCAUAGCUCCUGUGCAGGCAGCACUAAGGGACAGACCCUGCGUGUGUUCCUCUGUUCCUGCCUGCCCUCCAACAGCUGUCAUUUGCUUCUGCACCCAUUUUUAGAAAGUGACAGGGUCCCGUGUGUCCUGUACGCUGUUUAUUGGCAACUCGACCCUUGCUGCCUGUUCCCAAUAUUAAAGUGCCUACCUUAAAGCUUUAUCGAUUAAAUAGUUUCAAAGUGGUUAAUGAGAAGUUCUGUACAGGUUCUGAGCAACAUCAAAAAUGUCUUCUGAGAUUUAAAGUAUUUUCUCCAAGGCUUUGGGACGGUUGCCAUGUUGUUUGAAACAGUGUGGUAAAACAUUGGCAAUUUAAGUUUCUGAUACAAAGCCCUAAGUAAAUAGAAGGUAUAGCCCUGCAACGAUGAGAUUUUCAUACCAGUUGCGCUGCGAAAUGCUUUCAGGUUGUUUCUUCAUUUGUCACUGUUAUCAUGUAAGAAAUAUCAAUGAAAUCUGAGUCAGCCAAACAAAAAAUAAACUGCUUUAUUGUCUCAAAUAAAUGAGAAGUGCUUUUAGCUAUUGAGUUUCCUGAUGUCUCUUUAAUGAAAUUCUUCUGUUUGGG
RNAcentral lists this long non-coding RNA (1487 nucleotides) under Gallus gallus (chicken). RNAcentral describes it as "lncRNA (ENSGALG00010021283.1)". The record is from RNAcentral. Lineage: Eukaryota; Metazoa; Chordata; Aves; Galliformes; Phasianidae.